This is a long non-coding RNA of Bombus terrestris (buff-tailed bumblebee), 629 nucleotides long. RefSeq lists it as uncharacterized. NCBI's taxonomy places the organism in Eukaryota, Metazoa, Arthropoda, Insecta, Hymenoptera, Apidae. The transcript is spliced from 2 exons. The record is from RefSeq and is a predicted model, not a curated record.
GUACAAUGUACGACGUAUGAUGUAUCAAGAACGUGAAGCCGUAAAACUGUUUAAUAUUAAUUUCUUUUAUCCCCACGCCCACGUGUAACAUCAGAUUACUGACGUCAUAAAUCCAUGUUACUAAAAUCUGCAUCGUAAGAUGGAAGUCAACUGGAAAGUAACACGCAAUGACUUCAAACAUUUCUUCAGCUAAAUGGCCUAAUGACAAUUUUUUCAUAAAAUGUGGAAGUACGUCAAAUAAUAUCAUAAGAUUGCUAGGAUCCCUUUCUGUUUCUAUACUAGUAAUGAGUCCAUAAAUAAAAUCUGGCCCCAUAGCUUUUAAAUCUUCUAUUCUAUUUUCCAAUAAUGUUGUAAAUAUAAAAUAUAUAUUUCUGCGAUCAAGUGUUAAUUGAGAUUGGCACUGCACAUUUUCAAAAAGACUCCUAAGUAAGCAUUCAGGUGAAUCCUUAGGUAAAUGAUCCAUUUGAACCUGGAACAUUUAUGUUAGUUUAUAUAUAUAGCUAUUAUCUAAAUAUAAUUGUAAAAUACAAUCCAAAACUUACAAUUGUCAAAAUUCCUUUUACUACUGCUGGUAUAAUCCUAUGGUGAUCUUUUAAUCUGUCACAAUAAAAUGAUGUUAUAAAACACAA